GACAGAGGGGGCAAGCGUUGCUCGGAAUCACUGGGCGUAAAGGGCGCGUAGGCGGGAUGGCAAGUCGGUCGUGAAAUCCUUCGGCUCAACCGAAGAACGUCGGCCGAUACUGCCGUUCUUGAGGGAUGCAGAGGAGAUUGGAAUUUCCGGUGUAGCGGUGAAAUGUGUAGAGAUCGGGAGGAACACCGGUGGCGAAGGCGGGUCUCUGGGCCUGUACUGACGCUGAGGAGCGAAAGCGUGGGGAGCGAACAGG
Molecule: ribosomal RNA, 253 nt
Filed under: uncultured bacterium
Lineage: Bacteria
Description: partial 16S ribosomal RNA
Rfam family: Bacterial small subunit ribosomal RNA
Source: RNAcentral